CAAUGACGACUCAUGUCAUGUGAUUUUGGGAGCAUAAAUAGUGGAUCAUAAUCAAUCUGUGAGACAGACUGCCUGAUAAUACAGUUUAUUUCAUCCAGGCUUUGAUCACCAGCACACUGCAGAAAUGUGUGAAUAUAGACAACGGAUCUGCCGUCAGCAUACUGCAGCAAUGCCAAUAUGUGGUGGCUUUACCCCAGAGGAGCCUGUCACUCCAGAGGAGGAGAAGAUCUGCCGUGAGGUGAAGUCAGACAUAGAGGAGAAGGCUGGAACCAAUUUUGAUGUUUACAUUCCUUUAAGCUUUGCUUCUCAGAUUGCGGAAGGGACAAACUAUCUGGCGAAGGUGUACGUUGGAGUGGAUAAGUGCAUUCAUGUGAUGAUAUUUCAAGCUCUCCCCUGCAAUGGAGGCGAAUUGACUGUGACUGGAGUCCAGCACCCUAAAACCGCCAGUGAACCUCUGAUCCCAUUUGAUGACUAACCACAUGCAGAAAACAGUCUGUCUUCUCUAAUAACAGACACACACAAUGAUCUGCCAUACUGUAUAGAGGAACUAUUGAAAACUGUUUCAUUCCUCAAUAUUAAACUCAAUAUUCAAACUCUCAGUGCCUGUGUCAGUGUGUUUAUCUGAAGAACACCAAAUUCACUUCACUUUACUAAAAAAUAUUGCUGAAAUAACUAAACAUAAUUAUUUGAAUUGUCAAUUUGAAAUCCAUUUUCCAAGUCAAAUGUGGGACAUUUAUUGUCUCGAAAGUUUGAGAAACGCUGCACUUGAAAAAGUGCAGAGAUAUUUGAGGUGUUUUGUUGAUGAUCGGGUAUGUGGAUAGCCAAUAUGAAAAUUCUAUCUUGUCACUAAUUCUCAAAACACUUAAAACAUAUUGUCUUGCACAUUUAUUUUAAAUAAUUAAAAUAAGUCUGAUGAAUUUUAUAUUAAUUUUAAUUGCUUGCAGACCACCACAGCUCUUGCACUGUGACUGGAUGGGGUUGUGCCAGGGUUACUCCAGCCAGGUUUUUGUUGCUGGUACAUUCUGCAGACUUCUUGGGCUUGUCUUUGCUACUCUGAGUACCGACUUUUUGGCAGUAGUCUUUUGCUCCCAUGCAGUACUUUUCCACCAUUGACCCGACCUUCACCAGCUACUCCACGGUGUUCUUCAAGCAGAGAGCCCAGUAGUCAUAGGCGAAGUCCAUCAGACGUUGUCGCGGCUGCUGGACCAAUGUCCUCAACUCCUCCUCCACUUCUGAGAGCUCUGAGCGGGUCCCUUCAGGACCGUGCUAGGGUUCUGAUGAGCUCGACGCUGGGAAGGGGCCUGAUCUCCAGGAAGUUUUCACACUGCUCGAUGAAGUUUAACACAUCUGCUGUCUCGCAGGAGUCGCGAAAGAGGGGAACUCAAGGCGGAUGGGAAGCCGAGCACAGAAUGAGGAUGAACCAGCCAUAACUGAGGAGAUACUGGCACUGGGGUCUGUGGAUAAUGGACAGCAGAAAUGUGGGAGGAAGCUGGGACUUCAAAAUAAU
RNA transcript from Ctenopharyngodon idella (grass carp), 1507 nucleotides. It is a transcript of the gene named cystatin-B-like, with no coding region annotated. The record is from RefSeq and is a predicted model, not a curated record. NCBI's taxonomy places the organism in Eukaryota, Metazoa, Chordata, Actinopteri, Cypriniformes, Xenocyprididae. The transcript has 7 exons.